CUACUACUACUACAGUCUACAGUACAGUCAUUGUUCUUGCUUGUUUCUUUCUUUCUCUCUCUCUCUGUCUCUCUCUGCCACACAUCACACCCAACAGUCUCAGCAUUGCAGCAGCUGCAACCACUGCUCCUCCUGCUGCUUCACCCUGCAAACCAACAAAAUAAAACAUUUAACAAAAACAAAAUAUAUUAAAAGAGAGUAAAUAAAAUAAUGAAAAAAAAAAGGAUUUUGAUGAGAUAAAUGGGAAUGAAAGCAUGAUUUGAUGGUACCCAAGAGAGAGAGAGAGAGAGACCCCAUUUCACUCAUUCAUUCAAAGCCAGGAAACAAAAGUAAAAGGAAGAAAGAACCCAAAAAAGAAAGAAAGAAAAGGAAAUUCAUCAGAGAGAGAGAGAAAGAGGGUCUCUUUCUUUCUUUCUUUUUGGGAGUAUUGGGUCAGCUUCUUUUUAGCAAAUGCCAAAGUUAGCUCUCUGAAAAAAUGCAGUACCCAUCAUGAGAACAUGAAAUGAAAUGAAACCCUUCUUCUCUUUCAAAUCCCUCUCUCCAUUCCCCAUUCCCUCUUCUUCUCCACGCCAAGUCUUCAACUCCAAGUUGGUACCUUUUGCUACUCCAUUAGCAUUGUUCACAAGUUCUUUUCUUUCUUCUUUUAAAUUUUAAUUCUCAUGGCGGGUUUGAUUGAUCUGAACACCACGGAGGACGAUGAAACGCCGUCGUAUGGUUCCUACGCUGCUUCUCCAUCUUCUUCCUCCUCGCACUCGGGAACAAGCACUGCUUCUGUUUCAGCUUCAGCUCCUGUUGUUCCUGGUUCUUCUUCUAAUUCCGUGUGUUUGGAGCUGUGGCACGCGUGUGCAGGUUCAAUGAUCUCGUUGCCGAAGAAGGGAACUCUUGUUGUGUACUUCCCACAGGGACACUCUGAGCAGCAACUUCACGAUUUUCCUCUCUCUAACAACAAUAACAGCAUCCCACCCCAUGUGUUCUGUCGCGUUCUCGAUGUUAAGCUCCAUGCAGAGGAAGGGAGUGAUGAAGUGUAUUGCCAGGUUUUGCUUGUUCCUGAAAAUGAGCAAAAAUUUCAGGAAGGGGAUAUUGAGGCUGAUGGUGAAGAGGAGGACACGGAUGCUGUGAUGAAGGCAACAACACCCCACAUGUUUUGCAAGACUCUGACAGCUUCUGAUACCAGCACUCAUGGUGGAUUCUCAGUUCCCCGUCGUGCAGCUGAAGAUUGCUUUCCUCCGCUGGAUUAUAGUCAACAGAGGCCAUCACAAGAGCUUGUAGCAAAGGAUCUGCAUGGCCGGGAAUGGAAGUUUCGACAUAUUUACAGGGGGCAGCCACGAAGGCAUUUGCUUACCACUGGAUGGAGUGCAUUUGUGAACAAGAAGCAGCUGGUGUCUGGAGAUGCUGUCCUGUUUCUUAGGGGGGCAGAUGGUGAACUGAGAUUGGGAAUUCGUAGGGCAGGUCAAUUGAAAAGUGAUGGUAAAUUUUCAGUUCUCCCUCACCAGCAGUUGAAUCAUAGCACUCCUGUGGAAGUGAUUAAUGCUCUGUCUUCAAGAUGUGCCUUCAGUGUUCACUAUAACCCAAGGGUUAGUUCAUCAGACUUCAUCAUACCUGUCCACAAAUUCUUGAAGAGCCUUGAUUAUUCAUAUUCAGUUGGAAUGAGGUUCAGGAUGCGUUUUGAAACCGAAGAUGCUGCAGAUCGAAGAAUCACAGGAUUAAUUAUUGGGAUUAAUGAUGUUGAUCCUGUCAGAUGGCCCGGAUCAAAAUGGAGAUGCCUGCUGGUAAGGUGGGAUGACUUAGAAACCACACGGCAUAACAGGGUUUCUCCAUGGGAGAUUGAGCCAUCAGGUUCUGCUUCCACUGCCAGUAGCCUGAUGACAGCUGGUUUGAAGAGGAGCAAGAUUGGAUUGCCUUCAGCACAGCUAGAAUUUCCAGUUCCCAAUGGGAUCAGUACAUCAGACUUUGGGGAAUCACUAAGGUUCCAGAAGGUCUUGCAAGGUCAAGAAAUUUUGGGUGUUAAUAAUCCUGUCAAUGGUAUUAAUGCUCAGUGUCACCAAUUAUCGGAACUAAGAAGGUGCUAUCCUGGUACAACCUAUCCUGGAUUUACCACAGCAGGACAUGGUACAAUCCCACAAGUGAGUUCGGAUGCUUCCUGCAAUGGCAUAGGCUUUGGUGAAUCUUUCCGAUUCCAAAAGGUCUUGCAAGGUCAAGAAAUACUUCCAAGCCAACCAUAUGGAAAUGGUCGCCUCGGAGCUUUUGAUGGUUACCAGAUGCUAAGGUCCAGAAAUGGAUGGUCUGCGCAUAUGAAUAGCAAUUCUUCUCAUUUGCAUGCACCCUUUCCAUCUGGUCAACUGUCAUCUCCAUCAUCCGUGUUGAUGUUCCAGCAAGCAUUUAAUCCAGUUUCAAACUCUGAUUAUAGCAACAAAGCUAAUCAGGUGAAGGGUGGUAAAGCACUUCAACGAGGUUCUUAUGCUUCUGAAGUUGAUGGUGGAACGAAUGCUUCCUUCCCAUCUUAUGAGACAACUUUCCAUGGGAAAGCUCAGGAAGGAAAAAAUUCUUUCACUUUUUUAAAUCUGCAUGAUCAGUUGGGUGGUAGUCCACGUUCACCUGAUUCAAGAUCAGAGCCGAGAGGAAGUCAAGAGCUGGUUUCUUCAUGUAAAAGCAACUGCAGAGUCUUUGGUUUUUCACUAACUGAGGGUGCUCCCGUUGCAAGUGAAGAGACUGACCCCUCUACAGUCACUUUUCAAUUAAAUUCUGGGCCUUCUUUUACAAGACAUUGCCAAUGAAGGGCAUUCACGUAAGUGCAAGACAUUCUAUGAGACACUGUAUUUGAUAUGUCAUUCUAGUGCACUUGUCUUAAGAUAGAUUCUGUAGGUAAACGCUAAACAACUUCACUACCUGGAAUUGUUAGCACACAGUAUUUGACUUGUAUGAUUAGUGGAUUCAGUAACAAUUAUGAAAAGGCCAUUGAUUAGAUCACAAUAAGCAUGGAUCGUUAAUAACAAUGGUCAACUGCAGCAUUGGUUUCAAAGUUAGAAGAAAGCACAAUGCAUGUUAGCGAUGAUCACUGGGAUAAAUGUAGCAAAAGUGCAAUGUCUUUGGCAUAAUAAUUUAGGAUUUUGGGUACCAAAAUAAACGUUUAUAGACAUGUACCUGAAUUUGGCCAUUAUCCUGUGACCGGAUUCUUGUAUUAAUCUUUGUUUACUCUAACCUAUAUCAUGUUAAUGUACCUUUGAUGAAACGCAACAUGCAAGCACUUUGACUUAGAUUCAUAUACUUUUGGUGCUUUCUUGUUUCUUUGUACUUGUAUGAUUUGAGAGCAUGUCCCCCUAUAAACAACUAUGAAAACAUUUUGACCACGUGAGUCACUACUUUCCUAGUUUCACUCCUGCAAAUCUUGUUAGACCCACAGUUUUAUGUGAUUAUUAGAAAGUUGUGCUUGU
Molecule: non-coding RNA, 3431 nt
Organism: Arachis ipaensis
Lineage: Eukaryota; Viridiplantae; Streptophyta; Magnoliopsida; Fabales; Fabaceae
Source: RefSeq, a predicted model, not a curated record